UACGAACCGUACGAACGUUAUUCGGAAUCACUGGGCUUAAAGAGUGCGUAGGCGGCCUUGCAAGUUGGGUGUGAAAGCCCUCGGCUCAACCGAGGAAUUGCGCUCAAAACUGCAGGGCUCGAGUGAGAUAGAGGAGAGCGGAACUGAUGGUGGAGCGGUGAAAUGCGUUGAUAUCAUCAGGAACACCAGUGGCGAAAGCGGCUCUCUGGAUCUCUACUGACGCUGAGGCACGAAAGCUAGGGGAGCGAACGGG
RNAcentral lists this ribosomal RNA (253 nucleotides) under uncultured bacterium. RNAcentral describes it as "partial 16S ribosomal RNA". It matches the Rfam family "Bacterial small subunit ribosomal RNA", at positions 524 to 776 of the family's 1533-position model. The record is from RNAcentral.